RNAcentral lists this unclassified non-coding RNA (310 nucleotides) under uncultured Nectriaceae. RNAcentral's name for it is "sequence contains ITS1". The stretch from base 1 to 105 matches the Rfam family "5.8S ribosomal RNA", at positions 50 to 154 of the family's 154-position model. Lineage: Eukaryota; Fungi; Ascomycota; Sordariomycetes; Hypocreales; Nectriaceae. The record is from RNAcentral.
GAAAUGCGAUAAGUAAUGUGAAUUGCAGAAUUCAGUGAAUCAUCGAAUCUUUGAACGCACAUUGCGCCCGCUAGUACUCUAGCGGGCAUGCCUGUUCGAGCGUCAUUUCAACCCUCAAGCCCCCGGGCUUGGUGUUGGGGAUCGGCCGCCGCCUCAACCCGGUGGCCGUCCCCUAAUUCUAGUGGCGGUCUCGCUGUAGCCUCCUCUGCGUAGUAGCACACCUCGCACCGGAAUGCAGCCUGGCCACGCCGUAAAACCCCAACUUCUGAAUGUUGACCUCGGAUCAGGUAGGAAUACCCGCUGAACUUAA